RNAcentral lists this ribosomal RNA (253 nucleotides) under uncultured bacterium. RNAcentral's name for it is "partial 16S ribosomal RNA". It matches the Rfam family "Bacterial small subunit ribosomal RNA", at positions 524 to 776 of the family's 1533-position model. The record is from RNAcentral.
UACGUAGGGUGCAAGCGUUGUCCGGAAUCAUUGGGCGUAAAGAGCGUGUAGGCGGCUCGAUAAGUCUGCUGUGAAAGUCCAGGGCUCAACCCUGGAAGGCCGGUGGAAACUGUCGGGCUAGAGUCCGGAAGAGGCGAGUGGAAUUCCCGGUGUAGCGGUGAAAUGCGCAGAUAUCGGGAGGAACACCAAUGGCGAAGGCAGCUCGCUGGGACGGUACUGACGCUGAGACGCGAAAGCGUGGGGAGCAAACAGG